GACGAACGCUGGCGGCGUGCUUAACACAUGCAAGUCGAACGGAGAGGCCUGCUUGACCGUGUGGAUGGCGAGUACGCGAGUGACGAACGGGUGAGUAACACGUGAGUGAGCGGCCACCAACUGGAGUAUAAGCCUGGGAAACUGGGUCUAAUUCCCGAGAAGACUGCAGGGUGGAGCGGGUGUUGGAAAACGAUUGUGUAGGGGGUGGGGAUGAGCGCGCGGGCUUUCAGCGUGUUGGUGGGGUAAUGGCCUAACAAGGCUGCGACGGGUAGCCGGCCUGGGAGAGCGGACCGCCACAGUGGGACUGCCACACGGCCCCUGCGCCUCCGCGCGGCAGCCGUCGGGAGUCUGCCGCGAUGAGUGGAACCCUGAUGCCGCAACGCCGCCUGGGCGAUGCCGGGCUUCGGAUUGUGACCUCCUUUCGACCGCGAUGAUGCCACCUGGUUGGAGCGGUGGUGACGGUAGUGGUAGAAGAAGCACCGGCUAACUACGUG
RNAcentral lists this ribosomal RNA (494 nucleotides) under uncultured bacterium. RNAcentral describes it as "partial 16S ribosomal RNA". It matches the Rfam family "Bacterial small subunit ribosomal RNA", at positions 28 to 507 of the family's 1533-position model. The record is from RNAcentral.